AAAGGGAGCAAUCCUAAGUAAAGUGGCGCACGGGUGAGUAACACGUGGAUCAUCUACCUUUUAGUGGGGAAUACCUCUGGGAAACCGGAGACAAUACCGCAUAAGCCCGCAAGGGGAAAGCAGCAAUGCGCUGAAAGAGGAGUCCGCGGCCGAUUAGCUAGUUGGCGGGGUAACGGCCCACCAAGGCGAAGAUCGGUAGCCGGCCUGAGAGGGCACACGGCCACACUGGCACUGAAACACGGGCCAGACUCCUACGGGAGGCAGCAGUGGGGAAUCUUGCACAAUGGGCGAAAGCCUGAUGCAGCGACGCCGCGUGAGCGAUGAAGCCCUUCGGGGUGUAAAGCUCUUUCGACGGGAACGAUAAUGACGGUACCCGGAGAAGAAGCUGCGGCUAACUACGUGCCAGCAGCCGCGGUAAUACGUAGGCAGCGAGCGUUGCUCGGAAUUACUGGGCGUAAAGAGUGUGUAGGCGGUGUUCCCAGUCUGUUGUGAAAUCUCCCGGCUUAACUGGGAGGGUGCAGCGGAAACUAGAAUGCUAGAGGGUGGGAGAGGUAAGCGGAAUUCCUGGUGUAGCGGUGAAAUGCGUAGAUAUCAGGAGGAACACCUGUGGUGUAGACAGCUUACUGGACCACUUCUGACGCUGAGACACGAAAGCGUGGGUAGCAAACAGGAUUAGAUACCCUGGUAGUCCACGCCCUAAACGAUGCAUACUUGGUGUGAGCGAUUCAUUUCGUUCGUGCCGGAGCUAACGCGUUAAGUAUGCCGCCUGGGGAGUACGGUCGCAAGGCUGAAACUC
This 796-nucleotide ribosomal RNA is filed under the name uncultured Bacillota bacterium. RNAcentral's name for it is "bacterial SSU rRNA". It matches the Rfam family "Bacterial small subunit ribosomal RNA", at positions 72 to 902 of the family's 1533-position model. Lineage: Bacteria; Bacillati; Bacillota. The record is from RNAcentral.